Molecule: long non-coding RNA, 274 nt
Filed under: Gossypium barbadense (sea-island cotton)
Lineage: Eukaryota; Viridiplantae; Streptophyta; Magnoliopsida; Malvales; Malvaceae
Description: long non-coding RNA (GBAR_LNC008120)
Source: RNAcentral
AUAUAACAAUAAUAUGGUAGGAUCAUGAAUGAGAAAUAUGAUAUGAAUGCUUUGGUGAUAUUAUGCAAAUGUGGAUUUCGUAUUGUUGCAUGGUUAUGUUACUUGCUAUUUACAUGUGAACUUACUAAACAAUUAUGCUUACUCCCUCCUCUCUAUUCUUUGUAGUUUUGUCAAGCUGGCUAGGAGAUCGGGAACGGUCGGAGGCGCGCUCACACUAUCAACAAACUAUUUCGGUAUAAUGACUUGUAUAUUUUGGGAAUAUGGCAUGUAUAGC